RNAcentral lists this ribosomal RNA (303 nucleotides) under uncultured bacterium. Its description in RNAcentral is "partial 16S ribosomal RNA". It matches the Rfam family "Bacterial small subunit ribosomal RNA", at positions 507 to 807 of the family's 1533-position model. The record is from RNAcentral.
AGCAGUCGCCGCGGGAAUACAGAGGGUGCGAGCGUUAAUCGGAUUUACUGGGCGUAAAGCGUGCGUAGGCGGCUUCUUAAGUCGGAUGUGAAAUCCCUGAGCUUAACUUAGGAAUUGCAUUCGAUACGGGGAAGCUAGAGUAUGGGAGAGGAUGGUAGAAUUCCAGGUGUAGCGGUGAAAUGCGUAGAGAUCUGGAGGAAUACCGAUGGCGAAGGCAGCCAUCUGGCCUAAUACUGACGCUGAGGUACGAAAGCAUGGGGAGCAAACAGGAUUAGAUACCCCCGUAGUCCCUGUCUCUUAUAC